AGUGAACGCUGGCGGUAGGCCUAACACAUGCAAGUCGAACGGCAGCACAGUAAGAGCUUGCUCUUACGGGUGGCGAGUGGCGGACGGGUGAGGAAUACAUCGGAAUCUACUUUUUCGUGGGGGAUAACGUAGGGAAACUUACGCUAACACCGCAUACGACCUACGGGUGAAAGCAGGGGAUCUUCGGACCUUGCGCGAUUGAAUGAGCCGAUGUCGGAUUAGCUAGUUGGCGGGGUAAAGGCCCACCAAGGCGACGAUCCGUAGCUGGUCUGAGAGGAUGAUCAGCCACACUGGAACUGAGACACGGUCCAGACUCCUACGGGAGGCAGCAGUGGGGAAUAUUAGACAAUGGGCGCAAGCCUGAUCCAGCCAUACCGCGUGGGUGAAGAAGGCCUUCGGGUUGUAAAGCCCUUUUGUUGGGAAAGAAAAGCAGCAGGUUAAUACCCCGCUGUUCUGACGGUACCCAAAGAAUAAGCACCGGCUAACUUCGUG
This 492-nucleotide ribosomal RNA is filed under the name uncultured bacterium. RNAcentral describes it as "partial 16S ribosomal RNA". It matches the Rfam family "Bacterial small subunit ribosomal RNA", at positions 29 to 507 of the family's 1533-position model. The record is from RNAcentral.